AAUCGUACCCCAAACCGACACAGGUGGUCAGGUAGAGAAUACCAAGGCGCUUGAGAGAACUCGGGUGAAGGAACUAGGCAAAAUGGUGCCGUAACUUCGGGAGAAGGCACGCUGGCAUGUAGGUGAAGUCCCUCGCGGAUGGAGCUGAAGCCAGUCGAAGAUACCAGCUGGCUGCAACUGUUUAAUAAAAACACAGCACUGUGCAAACACGAAAGUGGACGUAUACGGUGUGACGCCUGCCCGGUGCUGGAAGGUUAAUUGAUGGGGUCAGCCGCAAGGCGAAGCUCUUGAUCGAAGCCCCAGUAAACGGCGGCCGUAACUAUAACGGUCCUAAGGUAGCGAAAUUCCUUGUCGGGUAAGUUCCGACCUGCACGAAUGGCGUAAUGAUGGCCAGGCUGUCUCCACCCGAGACUCAGUGAAAUUGAACUCGCUGUGAAGAUGCAGUGUACCCGCGGCAAGACGGAAAGACCCCGUGAACCUUUACUAUAGCUUGACACUGAACAUUGAGCCUUGAUGUGUAGGAUAGGUGGGAGGCUUUGAAGCGUGGACGCCAGUCUGCGUGGAGCCAUCCUUGAAAUACCACCCUUUAAUGUUUGAUGUUCUAACUCUGCCCCGUGAUCCGGGGUGAGGACAGUGUCUGGUGGGUAGUUUGACUGGGGCGGUCUCCUCCCAAAGAGUAACGGAGGAGCACGAA
This 694-nucleotide ribosomal RNA is filed under the name Serratia marcescens. RNAcentral's name for it is "partial 23S ribosomal RNA". It matches the Rfam family "Bacterial large subunit ribosomal RNA", at positions 1640 to 2314 of the family's 2925-position model. The record is from RNAcentral. Lineage: Bacteria; Pseudomonadati; Pseudomonadota; Gammaproteobacteria; Enterobacterales; Yersiniaceae.